UUGCAGACUAUUCAGACUCCUCUCUUUUCUCCUUAUGGUAAAACAAGAUCUAGAAAUGUUCCGGUAUUAUGUAGUUAAACACAAUGAAUCAAGGCUUGCAGUUAUGAAUAUCAAGUUAUGAAGACUGCGUUGAUGUAUUCACAGAAAUCUAGUUUCACGCUCCUUAUCAGGUACUGUUCUUAGGCUGUGAGGAAUUUUUUAAAAGCUCUUCAAACACAUCAACCAUAUCUCAGUAUCUUUGUUUUUAUCAUUUUAUUCAACCAAAUAUAAUUUUAAUAUGACAUGAAAAUGUGACUGUUUUACCAUCCGCUUAUAUUUAUGGAUCAUGGGCAUUCCCAUACCAAUCCUAGUUUUCACAAAUGACAAAUGACUUCUGGAUUUUUCCUAUAAACCACAACAACUUUAUGCAAACGAUUCUCUCUUGAGUAGUAUUUCUGAAAAUUCGUUUCCUUAUUCCCAACAAUAAGCUGUAGCAAACUUCCAAUAGCAGACGGAAGUAAAAAAUGUGCUGCUAGAUUAUUUCUUGCCUUAAUAUGUAAUUGAAAACAGUUUUUGGCUAUUAUAGUGAUGUGAUUGGCAACCAGCCAACCACCAAAAUUCUAUUAAAUCACCAGUCAUCACAGCCACCACCAUCAAUCAUCUGUAACUGUUUUGUGUAUUAGACUGAAAGAGAAUCAGCAUCCUGGUUUUCCUUCCAGGAAAGAGGAAAAGGACAAAGAGAUCAUAAUUAGGUUAAUACUGCGCCGCUAUUCCCUGGACUUCAUCCAUUGGUGGAAACUGACAAGAGAUCAACGACGACUGACUGGCUGACGUGCUGUGAUUCAACAGUACUGCACACUUGCGUGCGUUCCUUCCGUCGCUCCGAGUUGUGCCUGCUCCAGCUACGCGUCCAGCAUCAUUCGACUACCCAACGGACCACUGGGUGGGUCAACCUUCACUGAUUCCUAUAACUGUUCUCAACGCAGCAUAGAGUUUUAAUCUUAAGAUUGUUGGAUGCAUCAUUGUUGCUGUGUGUCAUGGUGAUUUUUUUCGGGACGACGAGCUGAUGAUUUGGGAGAGGAAACUAUUGCGUGAGUAUUGAAUUUUUGUCUUUUAUUUUUGUUCUGUUUGUUGGUUCAAUCCUGGUUCAAUACUGAAGUAUUCAGUUGAGUCAAUUACUGAAGUAUUCUGCUUUGAUCGUUUUAAGCCCAUUUUUGUUAAUUUUUAGUUUUACUUUGUACAUUUCUAAUGAUCCAAUCCAAGCUGCUCACUUGUUAAUUAACCACAUUGAAAUUAUGAGUCAUUCCCGGUACUGCCAGCCUAUUUAAUGUUCAGUAAGUUAAAGUGAGCGUCCACUGAACGUCUGAUCCUGAAUAAAUUAAGAAUGCAAGUUAUCGUUUAUAUUCCUACAUUAUUCUUUUUCUGCUUGUAGUGAAUUUAAAUUUCAUACUUGUUUUAAUUUUUUUACUUCCAUUCCCACAUGACGAAUAUCUAUACCCGCUGUUUUUUGGCGUUACCCACAUUAAAUUUACUCAUUGUUUGGCAA
Molecule: long non-coding RNA, 1525 nt
Organism: Daphnia pulex (common water flea)
Lineage: Eukaryota; Metazoa; Arthropoda; Branchiopoda; Diplostraca; Daphniidae
Exons: 5
Source: RefSeq, a predicted model, not a curated record